Molecule: ribosomal RNA, 444 nt
Filed under: uncultured Hyphomicrobium sp.
Lineage: Bacteria; Pseudomonadati; Pseudomonadota; Alphaproteobacteria; Hyphomicrobiales; Hyphomicrobiaceae
Description: bacterial SSU rRNA
Rfam family: Bacterial small subunit ribosomal RNA
Source: RNAcentral
UCCUACGGGUGGCUGCAGUGGGGAAUAUUGGACAAUGGGCGCAAGCCUGAUCCAGCCAUGCCGCGUGAGUGACGAAGGCCUUAGGGUUGUAAAGCUCUUUUGGCGGGGACGAUAAUGACGGUACCCGCAGAAUAAGCCCCGGCUAACUUCGUGCCAGCAGCCGCGGUAAUACGAAGGGGGCUAGCGUUGUUCGGAAUUACUGGGCGUAAAGCGCACGUAGGCGGAUUUGUUAGUCAGGGGUGAAAUCCCGGGGCUCAACCUCGGAACUGCCUUUGAUACUGCAAAUCUCGAGUCCGGAAGAGGUGAGUGGAAUUCCUAGUGUAGAGGUGAAAUUCGUAGAUAUUAGGAAGAACACCAGUGGCGAAGGCGGCUCACUGGUCCGGUACUGACGCUGAGGUGCGAAAGCGUGGGGAGCAAACAGGAUUAGAUACCCGAGUAGUCUCA